CAGGAGCACAUUGAUCUUGGAAUUAAAUAUGAUCCUUCAACUGGUAUUUAUGGAAUGGAUUUCUAUGUUGUAUUGGAGCGCCCUGGCUACCGUGUUGCCCGUCGUCGCAGGUGCAAGUCUCGAGUCGGGAUUCAGCACAGGGUCACUAAGGAGGAUUCAAUGAAGUGGUUCCAGGUCAAAUAUGAAGGUGUUAUCCUUAACAAGUCCUCAAACAUUCAGUGAUAAGCUGAGUGCCAACUUUUGGACCAGCUUGUCUCCUGGCAAGUUUAUUUUUAUGUAUUUUUGUAGACAGCCAUCGAUAUUACUAUUAAAGGAAUGUUUUGGAGAGAUUCUAGUUGGCAAAUUAGUAUGUUUUACUUCUCAUUUUGGCAAUCAGAUGAAUUCAAAUCUUUGUGAUGG
RNAcentral lists this unclassified non-coding RNA (399 nucleotides) under Hevea brasiliensis (rubber tree). Lineage: Eukaryota; Viridiplantae; Streptophyta; Magnoliopsida; Malpighiales; Euphorbiaceae. The record is from RNAcentral.